GCAACGGAGCAAACACCAACAACACUCUCCCACAGCCCCUGUCUUGCAGUGUCUGGGAUUUGCUGCCAGUCCUUGCCUGAGCUCAAGGUUUCAUAUGGGUGAAACACCCUUUGCCAUGCCAGCUGGGGGGAGCUGACUGAGCCAGAGCAACUUCUGCCCUGCUCCAGCACCGAAGGGAGGACUCAGGGCAGGUCUGCAGAGCCCUGGAGGCUGUUUGGAACCACAGGCUGAUACUGAGAUCAAAUCCACUGUGACUCUGAAAGGAAAACUAGAAAAGUUUCAAGACAAGAAGGAUGUCUCUGCUUCUCAAUGAGCUGCUGCAAGUGGGAUGAAUAACCCGGAGAAGUUCUUCUCUUCCCUGAGUAUCCUUGUGACUGACCUGUG
Apus apus (common swift) is the source of this 384-nucleotide long non-coding RNA. RefSeq lists it as uncharacterized. NCBI's taxonomy places the organism in Eukaryota, Metazoa, Chordata, Aves, Apodiformes, Apodidae. The record is from RefSeq and is a predicted model, not a curated record. The transcript has 3 exons.